RNAcentral lists this ribosomal RNA (433 nucleotides) under uncultured bacterium. Its description in RNAcentral is "partial 16S ribosomal RNA". It matches the Rfam family "Bacterial small subunit ribosomal RNA", at positions 29 to 507 of the family's 1533-position model. The record is from RNAcentral.
AACGAACGCUGGCGGCAUGCCUAACACAUGCAAGUCGAACGAGACCUUCGGGUCUAGUGGCGCACGGGUGCGUAACGCGUUGGAACCUGCCCUUAGGUUCGGAAUAACUCCCCGAAAGGGGUGCUAAUACCGGAUAAUGUCUUCGGACCAAAGAUUUAUCGCCUUUGGAUGGGCCCGCGUUGGAUUAGCUAGUUGGUAGGGUAAAAGCCUACCAAGGCGACGAUCCAUAGCUGGUCUGAGAGGAUGAUCAGCCACACUGAGACUGAGACACGGCCCAGACUCCUACGGGAGGCAGCAGUGGGGAAUAUUGGACAAUGGGCGAAAGCCUGAUCCAGCAAUGCCGCGUGAGUGAUGAAGGCCUUAGGGUUGUAAAGCUCUUUUACCCGGGAUGAUAAUGACAGUACCGGGAGAAUAAGCUCCGGCUAACUCCGUG